This 27-nucleotide unclassified non-coding RNA is filed under the name Mus musculus (house mouse). RNAcentral's name for it is "oocyte_clustered_small_RNA13640". Lineage: Eukaryota; Metazoa; Chordata; Mammalia; Rodentia; Muridae. The record is from RNAcentral.
UGGCUCAUUCAUGGAGUGAAAGGCAAU